This 220-nucleotide ribosomal RNA is filed under the name uncultured bacterium. RNAcentral describes it as "partial 16S ribosomal RNA". It matches the Rfam family "Bacterial small subunit ribosomal RNA", at positions 111 to 334 of the family's 1533-position model. The record is from RNAcentral.
UAAUGUCUGGGAAACUGCCUGAUGGAGGGGGAUAACUACUGGAAACGGUAGCUAAUACCGCAUAACGUCGCAAGACCAAAGAGGGGGACCUUCGGGCCUCAUGCCAUCAGAUGUGCCCAGAUGGGAUUAGCUAGUAGGUGGGGUAAUGGCUCACCUAGGCGACGAUCCCUAGCUGGUCUGAGAGGAUGGCCAGCCACACUGGAACUGAGACACGGUCCAG